CCUACGGGAGGCAGCAGUGGGGAAUAUUGGACAAUGGGCGCAAGCCUGAUCCAGCAAUGCCGCGUGAGUGAUGAAGGCCUUAGGGUCGUAAAGCUCUUUUACCAGGGAUGAUAAUGACAGUACCUGGAGAAUAAGCUCCGGCUAACUCCGUGCCAGCAGCCGCGGUAAUACGGAGGGAGCUAGCGUUGUUCGGAAUUACUGGGCGUAAAGCGUACGUAGGCGGUUAUUCAAGUCAGAGGUGAAAGCCCGGGGCUCAACCCCGGAACGGCCUUUGAAACUAGGUAGCUAGAAUCUUGGAGAGGUCAGUGGAAUUCCGAGUGUAGAGGUGAAAUUCGUAGAUAUUCGGAAGAACACCAGUGGCGAAGGCGACUGGCUGGACAAGUAUUGACGCUGAGGUACGAAAGCGUGGGGAGCAAACAGGAUUAGAUACCCUGGUAGUCCACGCCGUAAACGAUGAUAACUAGCUGUUCGGGCACUUGGUGCUUGAGUGGCGCAGCUACGCAUAAGUUAUCCGUCCGUCGGGUAGGUACGGUCGCGAGAGUUAAACGUUAAAGUAAAGUUAGACGGUCGUGUAGACGUUGUCCGACGGACGACGACGAGGGAGGAGG
Molecule: ribosomal RNA, 608 nt
Filed under: uncultured bacterium
Lineage: Bacteria
Description: bacterial SSU rRNA
Rfam family: Bacterial small subunit ribosomal RNA (bases 1-516)
Source: RNAcentral